Molecule: long non-coding RNA, 882 nt
Organism: Epinephelus lanceolatus (giant grouper)
Lineage: Eukaryota; Metazoa; Chordata; Actinopteri; Perciformes; Serranidae
Source: RefSeq, a predicted model, not a curated record
UCCAGCGUGUUCUGGGUCUUCCCCGGGGCCUCCUACCAGUGGAACAUUCAAAAAAGGCACAAACAAAUGACAAAUGAAUCAAUGACGUGUUUAGAGUCAAAUUAGAGUCCUUUUCGGAUGUUUUUUUGAAUAAUGAUAAUGUAGAUGAUGAUUGUAGAGAUGAAAGAAGGUUGUUCCAAAGAGAUGGUCCUCUGUAUUUCAGUCAAGAUUGACAAAGAGAAGUCCGACAAUAUUAAAGAUAAAGGUCCUUAGAGUCUUGUGGAAUAUGAGUGAGUGCCUUUUGGAAAAUGUUUGGCAAGUCAUGAGUCAGAUGUACAUAUUUAUACGUGAGUACACAGGUCUGGUAGAUGUUACGCUUUGAUUUUACUACCUGUAAAAAUGACCCUCUAUUGUCCUAGUUUCAUUAGUUUGGAUUUUAGUUAUAGUGAAGUCAUGAGCCCAUAUGUCAUGAUUCUAUGCCUCAUUUUGCCACGGCCCUGGCUGUGUCACUAGUUUCCCUGUAUUUUUCCUCAUACUCUGUUCCCCCUCCCCUUGUCUGUCUCGCUGUGGGCGUGGCAACUCCCUCACACUCCUGGGUUUCCGAUUACAUUCACUCAGCUCACCUGCUCCCUGCUGCUCACCUGAGAGCCAUCCAGUUGUCAACCCUGCAGUGUGAAACACCGUCUCUCCUCUCCAGUCCUCGCCAGAUCGUUGAGUCUUCCACUGUGGAUCACUGCCUGCCUGCCCGCCUGUUUGUUCUUCUGCCAUGCUCCCAGCCAGCCAAACCCCUCCAACCUAGUUUGCUUCCCUGCCAUCAACCCACUCUCCUCAGCAUUAAAACCCCUGGAUUUGUCCCUACUGUUACGUUCAUUAUGCCGGCUAUAAAACCCCCUUUUUAACCAC